GUUGAAUUCAGUUUAUCUUGAAUUUAAAGAAUUAUUAUUAUUAUUUUAUAAAAAAAAUAUUUUUUUGUUUUAUUAUUAAUUAAUAAAAAAUACUUGUAAUUAUAGUUUAAUUGUAUAGUGAUAGAAUUUUUAAAAUUUUUAAAUUUUAAAAAGAAGAUUUUAUUUAUUGUACCUUGUGUAUCAGGGUUUAUUAAUUAAAAAUUAAAUAUGUUAAUUUUCUCGAUUCUAAAAGAGUUAAGAAUUUAUAAAUUUUAUUGUUAAAUAAAUAUUUAAAAUAAAUUUUUAGUAAUGAAACGUUAGUCGUUUUUGGAUAUAUCUAGUUUUCAAAGAAAUAAAUUUAAUUUAUUUAUUAAUAUUAUAAAAUUUAUUUAAAAAUUUUAUUAAGUUAAUAUAAAAUAUUUUUGGGGAUAAGCUUAAAAAUAAAUUAUUAUAAAUAUUGUAAGUUAGAAAAAUUGUAGGAUUAGAAAUUUUCAUCAUUAAUAAUUUGUUAUAAUUAAUUUUUUAUUUAAUUUGAUUUAUAUUUAAUUUUAAUUUUUUUAUUUGAAUAAUUUAAUUAAUAUUUAAUUAAAUGGAAUAAUGAUAAAAUUAGUAUAAUUUAAUUUAUAAGUAAAUUAAUGGUUUGAGGUUAAAUAAAGGAACUCGGCAAAUAUAUUUUUCGCCUGUUUAUUAAAAACAUGUCUUUUUGAUAAUAAUAUAAAGUCUGACCUGCCCUAUGAAGUUUUAAAUGGCUGCGGUAUUUUGACCGUACAAAGGUAGCAUAAUAAUUAGUUUUUUAAUUGAAAGCUGGAAUGAAUGGUUGGACGAGAAAAUAACUGUCUCUAUUUAAAUUAAUUAAAAUUUUAUUUUUAAGUAAAAAAGCUUAAAUUUAUUUAAAAGACGAGAAGACCCUAUAGAAUUUUAUAUAAUUACUUAACUUAAAUUUUUUGAAUAUUAUUUUUAUUUUAUUUGCUUAUAUUUUAUUGGGGUGAUAGAAAAAUUUAAUAAACUUUUUUUUUAUAAAAACAUUAAUUUAUGAUUUUUUGAUCCAUUUUUAUGAUUACAAGAUUAAAUUACCUUAGGGAUAACAGCGUAAUUUCUUUAAAGAGUUCUAAUCGAAAAGGAAGUUUGCGACCUCGAUGUUGGAUUAAAAUUAAGUUUUGGUGUAGUAGCUAGAAAUUUAGGUCUGUUCGACCUUUAAAAUUUUACAUGAUCUGAGUUUAAACCGGUGUGAGCCAGGUUGGUUUCUAUCUUUAAAAAAUUAUAAUAUUUUAGUACGAAAGGACCAAGUAUUAAUAAAAUUUAUUUUAAAUUGAAUAUUAUU
RNAcentral lists this ribosomal RNA (1300 nucleotides) under Ptomascopus plagiatus. RNAcentral describes it as "16S ribosomal RNA". The stretch from base 1060 to 1218 matches the Rfam family "Archaeal large subunit ribosomal RNA", at positions 2542 to 2701 of the family's 2987-position model. The record is from RNAcentral. Lineage: Eukaryota; Metazoa; Arthropoda; Insecta; Coleoptera; Silphidae.